AAAAACAUUAAACAAAAAAAAUAAUUACAAAAAAAAUUUACCUUUCAAAAAAAUUUAUUGUUACCCUCUUACACCCUAAACCCUAAAUAAAAAAUAUAAUAAAUAUUAAAACCACAUAACAAUGUGUUGCCUCCUCCUUUAAGACCCUAAACAAAAAAUUACAAAAAUAAAACUUUACAUUUCAGGACCCUUCUUCUUUUCCCUUCUCUUCUCUAUUGCCUCUUCCCCUUCUUCUCUUCUCCUAAAUUGUUAGCUUCUUCUUCUUCUUAAUUUAUAGUUGAGGGGACCAUAAGCCCUCUUAUAAACUUCAUUUUUU
RNAcentral lists this long non-coding RNA (316 nucleotides) under Gossypium raimondii (Peruvian cotton). Its description in RNAcentral is "long non-coding RNA (GRAI_LNC006451)". The record is from RNAcentral. Lineage: Eukaryota; Viridiplantae; Streptophyta; Magnoliopsida; Malvales; Malvaceae.